AGUGAGUGCCAUUUGGGAAUAUGAAGAGGGCUCCGAGUGGAAAAGGUAUCCAAAUGAUAUCAAUGUAAAGAUUGAAAAAGCUUAUCAAAGAAAGAAGACAGGAAAAACAAUCAUCGAAAUGGAUCGAACAACGUGAGUUUGUGAUCAUUUUUCAAUAUUCUAUUACUAUCUUUUCUGUUCUCAUUGAUACUUUCAAAUACCAAGAAGAAAGCAAUGUCAGAGCUUUCAAAAACCCAGGAAAACAAUUACACAUGAAUUAACAGACAGGGAAGUGAAAACUGUCAGAAUAACUUAGCUUCAAAAGAAUGAUAUAAUUAUUUAUGCCGAAAGAUGAAGCAUGUUUGCUGUAAAAAGUAAACUCACAAAAAUAUCGAACUCCGAGGAAAAUUCUAAAUAGAAAGUUCCAAAUCAAAUGACAAAAUCAAAUGCUCAAACACAUCAAACAAAUGGGUAACAGAUGUUAUAUUCCUAACUUGGUACAAGCAUUUUUAUGUAUGUAGAAAAUGGUAAAUUAAACCUGGUUUGAUAGCUAGAUAAACCUCUCACUUGUAGGACAGUCGCAUAUAAUUCGAUUAUAUUGACAACGAUGUGUGAACAAAAAAAAACAGACAUAAUAGGUAAAAAUGUCAAUAACUAAUUUGUGAUUCAUUGAUAUAUAAAAUACUUGAAACGAAAAAAUUAUAUCUUAAUAAAUUUGUUUUACGUACCAAAUAAGCAUUUCGAAAAUUGAUAUCCCCUCCAUGUUGUUAAAAGCUCGUCUGAAUAGUGUUACUUGUGUUAUUCCGGUUAUCUCUUACUAAUCUCCGAUUGUUACAGUACGCUAUAGGCCGCUUGAGGGCGUAGAACUCAAGUCAGUUCGAAGCCAAAAAAUAAGAAAGUACCAAAAUCUGAUAUAAACGUGGAAUAACCGAUCAAAAACAAAAAAAGAUAAACACAUUAAAGCAUACAUCAGGACAAGGAAUUAGAGGUAUGCUUGAGAGGGAUAAAGUCCUUUAUUUAAAGUAUUAUCGAAAUAUAUUCUGUAACAACACAAAUGUAAUCGAAUUAUAUUCUAUAACAACAAUCGAACAAUAUAUGUACUUUCGUAUCAGCACCGAUGCACUGGAUACAGAGAUGGGGAUAUUUUCUGGAAGAAGCAGUACAUAUACCAUUGGAUGUAUCGACCUAAUGCUAGCAGUAUAUAUUCGUAUUUGAUAUAAUCCUGGUACAUUUGAUAACUAAAUAUAUACGUUCAAGUCUUAGUUCAUAUUUGAAUUGAUAUUAUAUUUGUAGAGUGUACAUAACGAUUAUUGAAUUCUACUGAGAAUUUUGAUUGGAAAACACUAAUUAAAGAAACCAGGCUUGAAUCUAUAAAAUAGAUAUUGUGUUCAAAUCUUAAGACCAUCAUUUUGAAAUCAAAUUAGAAAAAAAGAAAAUCUUAUUGAUUGAUCUUUAGAUCUUUCGCAGAAUGGCAUUGUAUACGUUUGUUCUCGCUAUAAAACACGUUAUCCAUGCAAUGUUAACACCAAACAUGCAAACAUGCCAAUAUAUCUAACUACAGUUACAUUAAGAAUCGUUUGACAGCAUCAGGGACGUAAUAUUAUUAAACAUUUUUGCUUUGCUCUUAUUUCUAAUUACAAUUUGUAUAUAAAUAAUAAUCACAACUCAAUAUAAAAAUUGCCCUUUUCAUAUAAACUAAGACGAAUCCCACUGAAAACCGGAGGGAUAAUACAAAGGCUAAUCUAAAUAUGUUUAUAGGCAACGGAAAUUUACAGUUUUAAAUUGACCAUAUAAAGAACUCUUACUUACAUUGCAGAUACCAAAUAUAUUUUCAAAGAAUGAUUCAAGAGAAUCCAAGUAAUAAGACAGAAAAGUCCAUCCGCAGGAAAGGUUGGUAAAUAAUUGUUCGAUAUUGUCAAAUUACAAUGUGGUGCAUAAGUUUCAUUCAUUUCAAACUUGUUAUUUAAAACAAGUCACCAAAGGUACCAAGCAUAACGCGUGUUUCGUCUGUACAAGUCAGUUUGAAUGUUAAAUCAAUUGAGGAGAAGAUUAACAUUGAAUACAAAUUAUGUUAUAAGCUAUGUAAAAACUGGUGGAAUUUGUUUUAUACACAGAAUAUUGAAAGGGAGUUUAAAAUAUUUUAUGUUGAAUAAACAAAAUGUUGUUCAUAAUAAAACGAUAGGAAAGCAGUUUUGAUACAGGAUAUGUACAUGCACUAGUCUGCCACCGUUUUUGACAAACGAAUAUUUUAAAAAUAAUUAUGUUAUAAUUUCCGAGAACAUAACAUUGACAUAAAAAAAAUGUUAAAAAGCGUCAAAUGUUGUGUAAUUAUCAUUAUACUUCGUGCAAAUGAGGUUUGCCAUUUCUUAGAACUUUAAACUAGGGCAACAGUUUAUCGAUAUUCAUAACUGCAAUAUCGAUUACAAAAUACAACUCAUGGUAACAAAUUUGCGUUACUGUUCCAUCUUUUCCAAUGAAAAACACCUGUUUCUGUGUUGGGUUGUGUGUAAUGUGGUAGGUCAGUCUGUCCAUUUUCAAGGCAUAUUUUCAAUUUUUUGAUCGACUUGGGAGUUUGAAUGUUCCUUGUGAAUCUUUCGCCUUUAGACUUUCACUAAAAUUUCUACAUGACGAUCAUAAACAAAUAUAAUGUUUAAAUAUUUGUUUGCUAAAAGGAAUUAAAUGAAUCAUAUUAGUUUAAAUAGUUUGCAAUGAGUCAAGAUAAAAGUACUUAAAAAAAAAACAUUCAUUAUAUUUUAGAUUAAGCUGGGAGAUGAUAAAAAGAACAUGUCUGCAGAAAACUGAUAGA
RNAcentral lists this long non-coding RNA (2785 nucleotides) under Mytilus galloprovincialis (Mediterranean mussel). The record is from RNAcentral. Lineage: Eukaryota; Metazoa; Mollusca; Bivalvia; Mytilida; Mytilidae.